GGGGAUGUAGCUCAGAGGAUAGAGCGCUCACUACAAAAUGAGAGAACUGGCGCAGGUUCGAAUCCUGCCACCCCCACGA
Molecule: transfer RNA, 79 nt
Filed under: Corynebacterium glutamicum
Lineage: Bacteria; Bacillati; Actinomycetota; Actinomycetes; Mycobacteriales; Corynebacteriaceae
Description: tRNA-OTHER
Rfam family: tRNA
About the family: Transfer RNA (tRNA) molecules are approximately 80 nucleotides in length. Their secondary structure includes four short double-helical elements and three loops (D, anti-codon, and T loops). Further hydrogen bonds mediate the characteristic L-shaped molecular structure. tRNAs have two regions of fundamental functional importance: the anti-codon, which is responsible for specific mRNA codon recognition, and the 3' end, to which the tRNAs corresponding amino acid is attached (by aminoacyl-tRNA synthetases). tRNAs cope with the degeneracy of the genetic code in two manners: having more than one tRNA (with a specific anti-codon) for a particular amino acid; and 'wobble' base-pairing, i.e. permitting non-standard base-pairing at the 3rd anti-codon position.
Source: RNAcentral